CUGGCUCAGAUUGAACGCUGGCGGCAGGCCUAACACAUGCAAGUCGAGCGGAUGACGGGAGCUUGCUCCUUGAUUCAGCGGCGGACGGGUGAGUAAUGCCUAGGAAUCUGCCUGGUAGUGGGGGACAACGUUUCGAAAGGAACGCUAAUACCGCAUACGUCCUACGGGAGAAAGCAGGGGACCUUCGGGCCUUGCGCUAUCAGAUGAGCCUAGGUCGGAUUAGCUAGUAGGUGAGGUAAUGGCUCACCUAGGCGACGAUCCGUAACUGGUCUGAGAGGAUGAUCAGUCACACUGGAACUGAGACACGGUCCAGACUCCUACGGGAGGCAGCAGUGGGGAAUAUUGGACAAUGGGCGAAGGCCUGAUCCAGCCAUGCCGCGUGUGUGAAGAAGGUCUUCGGCUUUAAGGCACUUUAAGUUGGGAGGAAGGGCAGUAAGUUAAUACCUUGCUGUUUGACG
RNAcentral lists this ribosomal RNA (458 nucleotides) under Pseudomonas sp. VV21. RNAcentral describes it as "bacterial SSU rRNA". It matches the Rfam family "Bacterial small subunit ribosomal RNA", at positions 19 to 474 of the family's 1533-position model. The record is from RNAcentral. Lineage: Bacteria; Pseudomonadati; Pseudomonadota; Gammaproteobacteria; Pseudomonadales; Pseudomonadaceae.